This is an RNA transcript of Hydractinia symbiolongicarpus, 1453 nucleotides long. It is a transcript of the gene named sarcoplasmic reticulum histidine-rich calcium-binding protein-like, with no coding region annotated. NCBI's taxonomy places the organism in Eukaryota, Metazoa, Cnidaria, Hydrozoa, Anthoathecata, Hydractiniidae. The transcript has 5 exons. The record is from RefSeq and is a predicted model, not a curated record.
AUAUAUAUAUAAUUAUGCCUUUUUAGAAUAUUUAGAAAUGAAAACAAUGAAAGGGAUACUUGUUAUUUUGUUUUGCUGCAUUGUUGCUGCUUAUUGCAAUGACAAGGAAAAAAUUAGUGAUAAUAUUGUAAAUAUAGAAGAGAAUUCCAAACAGGCUCCCCCGCCUACUAUAUCACCAGCUGAAGAUGGGAGGGAGGCAGAUUCAAGCUCUGAAACUGAGAAAGAGAAACCAAUACCAUCACCUAACGACUCAAGUGACUCAAAUAAUGAAGACAGUGAACACACAUCUGAGAGCACUGCAAAGGAAGAAAAUGGUUACAAAAAUGGUUCAAUUUGUAGUUAUUGCAAAUAUUGUAAAUUAUGCAAUCUUUGUGAAGAGAAAUGUCCUUGUGAAAAGUCAACAAGUGAGCACUGUGAUAUGUGCAAGUAUUGCAAGUAUUGUAAUUUUUGUGGCACAGUAUGCGACACAGUUUGCACUCCAGGAAGUUUUUUGGACAUCUUUUCAUCGGCUGUUUAUGAGUAAGUUUUUCCAUUGCUUCAUAGAAAAAGAAGAGGCGUUGGCAAUUCAACAAACACCAAAAACAUUUUACAUCGCGCUACCCACGUUCAGCGAUGAAACGAAAAAGGAUAUCAAUGAAGACAUAGAAAAAGCGAAAAAUUUUAUAAAAGAAUAUUUAUAGUACGGUUAGAAUUUUAUCAUUCUAGUAUAUGCUACUUUUUGUGUUUGUUUGAAUAUUAGCUUAUAAAGUGAUUAAGCAGUUGCACCAGGGAUGGUUUCAUGCCUGUUUGUUUUUCCAGUUUUUUUAGGUUCAAAUUUAUAUUUUUAUACCAAGGUAUAUCUUUAUCCUCAUAUGUCAAAUCUCAAAAAAAAAGCAUUAUAUUCAGUGAUUUUGUUAUUCACAAAAGUUUUCGACCCUUGCUGUUUCUUGUACACAGCUGUACUAUUUGAAAGUAACCACCUUCUACGCUUCUUUUUCUCACCCACCCACACGGACUUAUCUACGUAUGUAAUUAAUAAAUGUUCAUAUGGCAACGAGAUGGAUUAAAUUUAGCCCACUGACAUUGUUACCAUUCAUGAGCUUGCAUAAUUUUUGAAACUGAAAUUUUUUAUUAAAUGACGAGGCGUCUUUUAUAGCCAAUUGGAUGAUAUGGACUAUUUCAUAUUUUUUUUUGUAAUCAGAUUAAAAAGAGCUUUUUCCUGAUGAAGGUAUAAUGAUUGUAUACGGAAUAUGGUCGACCUCUUAAGCGUUGCCAUAGUGAUUUUUAAUUUCUUGUGUAACUACGUUAUAUAUAUUACAUAGUUUUAUUAAAAAAAAUAUUUUUUAUAUUUGAUGUUUUUAAACAAUAGAGUCUAUUUUGUGCUUCAUAAUAUACUUAUUGUAUUGCCGUUUAAAAUGAUGUAUAGAGUUAUUACGAUGAGUUUUGUUAUUGUUGAAAAACUACGGCGUCCGAA